The sequence is a regulatory RNA element, 102 nucleotides long. It matches the Rfam family "Purine riboswitch aptamer". Rfam says of the family: Riboswitches are metabolite binding domains within certain messenger RNAs that serve as precision sensors for their corresponding targets. Allosteric rearrangement of mRNA structure is mediated by ligand binding, and this results in modulation of gene expression. The record is from Rfam.
AAUGUUUAAUUAAAUAGCCCUCAUAUAAUAAUGGGAAUAUGGCCCAUAAGUUUCUACCCGGUAACCGUAAAAUACUGGACUAUGAGGGAAAGUGAAUGAAAA